CCUACGGGAGGCAGCAGUGAGGAAUAUUGGUCAAUGGGCGAGAGCCUGAACCAGCCAAGUCGCGUGAGGGAGUACUGCCCUAUGGGUUGUAAACCUCUUUUGUCGGGGAGCAAAAGCCGGACGUGUCCGGCUGUGAGAGUACCCGAAGAAAAAGCAUCGGCUAACUCCGUGCCAGCAGCCGAGGUAAUACGGAGGAUGCGAGCGUUAUCCGGAUUUAUUGGGUUUAAAGGGUGCGCAGGCGGAUUUUUAAGUCAGCGGUAAAAUCGUGGGGCUCAACCCCAUCCAGCCGUUGAAACUGGGGAUCUAGAGUGUGCGAGAGGUAUGCGGAAUGCGUGGUGUAGCGGUGAAAUGCAUAGAUAUCACGCAGAACCCCGAUUGCGAAGGCAGCAUACCGGUGCACAACUGACGCUCAGGCACGAAAGCGUGGGUAUCGAACAGGAUUAGAUACCCCAGUAGUC
Molecule: ribosomal RNA, 458 nt
Filed under: uncultured bacterium
Lineage: Bacteria
Description: partial 16S ribosomal RNA
Rfam family: Bacterial small subunit ribosomal RNA
Source: RNAcentral